Arachis ipaensis is the source of this 401-nucleotide non-coding RNA. Lineage: Eukaryota; Viridiplantae; Streptophyta; Magnoliopsida; Fabales; Fabaceae. The record is from RefSeq and is a predicted model, not a curated record.
CAUGUUAGCUAUUAUUCUUAUAUAGAAGAACAAAGAGAUAAUACAAAACACAAUUAGCAGUGAAACCUUAUUCAAAAUGGCUUCUCCCAUCAGUCAACCUUAUUCCCUAGGAAUUUUAUGUAUUUUUUUUAUUUUGGCUUCAACAGGACCAUUAUUUGCAGAUGGUACGACACUUUUUCCUGGCAGGGUUUGUGACGAACCAUGCCAAGGUUAUGGAAAUUGCGCCACAAGUUGCGUUCAAAAGGGAUUUCGCGGCGGUAGCUGUAUUGGGGUUAUUCCGAGGGUUAUACUUUGUUGUUGUUUCAAGCAUUAACAAUACUUGAACUAAGUAAAUAAUAAUAAAAUAUGUAUGAAAUAAAAUAAAUGAUGAAAUGAUAUUUGGUUGGAGAUUCAUUUUAAUA